AAUAUUCAUGAAAUUCUUCAUUUGGAACCCCUGUUUAUGAAGCUUUAAGAAAAGCCAUUUGCACCAGAAAUCACCUGGUUUCUGAACAGUUGUUACAGUUGUCAUAUAGCCCUGUAUCAGAUAGCAGCAGAGCUUCAGUAAUAACAGCAGCUGCCAUCUUUGAUUAAUGCCUUGCGGAUAUAUGUGCCAGUUGAUCUUCUGGGACUCCUAACAGUGGGAGCAGGGACUAUCUCUGUCUCUUUGCUGACGUUUGGAAGCAUAUUCCUCAUACUUGA
Alexandromys fortis (reed vole) is the source of this 275-nucleotide long non-coding RNA. RefSeq lists it as uncharacterized. The transcript has 3 exons. Lineage: Eukaryota; Metazoa; Chordata; Mammalia; Rodentia; Cricetidae. The record is from RefSeq and is a predicted model, not a curated record.